This 253-nucleotide ribosomal RNA is filed under the name uncultured bacterium. RNAcentral's name for it is "partial 16S ribosomal RNA". It matches the Rfam family "Bacterial small subunit ribosomal RNA", at positions 524 to 776 of the family's 1533-position model. The record is from RNAcentral.
UACGUAGGCAGCGAGCGUUGUUCGGAAUUAUUGGGCGUAAAGAGUGUGUAGGCGGUGCUCCAAGUCUGUCGUGAAAUCUCCCGGCUUAACCGGGAGGGUGCGGCGGAAACUGGAGUGCUCGAGGGUGGGAGAGGAAAGCGGAAUUCCCGGCGUAGCGGUGAAAUGCGUAGAUAUCGGGAGGAACACCUGCGGUGUAGACAGCUUUCUGGACCACUUCUGACGCUGAGACACGAAAGCGUGGGUAGCAAACAGG